UGCCGGGAUCCUAGGAGCAUUAACUCAACCAGACUCAAAUCCCCCCACCCACCGGAAACACAAGCAGCCGGGGCCGAUUUUGGCUCUGCAACCUGAACUCAAGGAGUAGUGCAAAACAAACCAGCUGCAGCCCAAAGAGGCUAGCUAACAAAGGCGAACUGCCUGCCUCCGCCGCUGUAGUCUGUCGGUCUGUAGCUGAAGUCUGGACUGAGGCAGAGGAGAAAAGCUUCCCCGAGCAGAGCUGACAGCUCCAGUAACAGUCUGUCCAAUCAAAGAGCAGGAGGCGGAGCCGGCCCACGGAGGGUUACAUCCAAAUGCUAAUGAACAUCUGCAAACAACAGCACAGAGAGACCAAAACAGGCCGAAACACAUCAUGCCACACACAGGACAGCAACUCUGGGUCCUAAAUCCCUGGUGGUUCUCCCGGACACACAAACACUGUCAGCAGGGCCUGGGUAUCAGAGCAGGAUCCUGGAUCCCAGACAGGGCACUGUGCCCAGAAACCUUUCCCUGUGACUGUGAGACAAAUCCAAGGGUGACGAAAACUGAUAAAACACCCUCGUCCACAUAGUUUGGUGCUUUUUCAGUCUGGGCAUCAGUAGUGGAAUGAUGCCUAGAUUAAUUUAUGUGACUUUAUAUUCUUACUACACUUCGUCUCAGAAGCCCAUGUUGUAAUUGUGAAGCCAAAACAUUUAUGUGUUGAGAAAACCUCCUCUAUGAAAGCCCAAUUUUCAGAAAUGCAUGGUUUUCAUAGGACAGUAGCACUACAAACAUGAUCUUAUAGAAUAUGAUGCAUUUAUUUUAACUAAACUACACAACAGUAUU
This 825-nucleotide long non-coding RNA is filed under the name Sphaeramia orbicularis (orbiculate cardinalfish). Its description in RNAcentral is "lncRNA (ENSSORG00005014376.1)". The record is from RNAcentral. Lineage: Eukaryota; Metazoa; Chordata; Actinopteri; Kurtiformes; Apogonidae.